Molecule: non-coding RNA, 368 nt
Organism: Oryza sativa Japonica Group (Japanese rice)
Lineage: Eukaryota; Viridiplantae; Streptophyta; Magnoliopsida; Poales; Poaceae
Source: RefSeq, a predicted model, not a curated record
CCUACUUCUGAAAUGAGAAUGAUAUACUUUCGACGCCAUAAAUGACAGAUAGGUUUUUUUGGGUGCAAGAGAUAUGGCAAGGAGUAGAAGAAGGCGUAUUGUUCAGAGCAAUGAGGAAUAUUUGUCAGAGGAACAGACUGAAGAAGAAAAUACCCUUCCAUAGCUUGCCACACCAUCUGAACAAGAAACUGUAUGUGAUGAUUUUGGAGAAGGCAAUGAAGACACUGAUGACGAUUUUGAUAUCAAUGAUGGAGAAAGCAAUGAAGACACUAAUGACGAUGUUGAUAUUGAUGAUGAAAGCAAUGAAGAUACUGAUGUUGAUAUUAAUGUUCGAGUUGAAAAUGGAGCACCUGAAACACGUGGCAAGA